RNAcentral lists this ribosomal RNA (600 nucleotides) under bacterium enrichment culture clone F61x_D69_T3_E09. RNAcentral's name for it is "bacterial SSU rRNA". It matches the Rfam family "Bacterial small subunit ribosomal RNA", at positions 318 to 911 of the family's 1533-position model. RNAcentral also lists the same sequence under 1 other name. The record is from RNAcentral.
GCUGAGACACGGCCCAGACUCCUACGGGAGGCAGCAGUGGGGAAUUUUGGACAAUGGGCGCAAGCCUGAUCCAGCAAUGCCGCGUGAGUGAAGAAGGCCUUCGGGUUGUAAAGCUCUUUUGUCAGGGAAGAAACGGUGGAGGUUAAUACCUUCUGCUAAUGACGGUACCUGAAGAAUAAGCACCGGCUAACUACGUGCCAGCAGCCGCGGUAAUACGUAGGGUGCAAGCGUUAAUCGGAAUUACUGGGCGUAAAGCGUGCGCAGGCGGUUGUGCAAGACAGAUGUGAAAUCCCCGGGCUCAACCUGGGAAUUGCAUUUGUGACUGUACGGCUAGAGUGUGUCAGAGGGGGGUAGAAUUCCACGUGUAGCAGUGAAAUGCGUAGAGAUGUGGAGGAAUACCGAUGGCGAAGGCAGCCCCCUGGGAUAACACUGACGCUCAUGCACGAAAGCGUGGGGAGCAAACAGGAUUAGAUACCCUGGUAGUCCACGCCCUAAACGAUGUCUACUAGUUGUCGGGUCUUUAUUGACUUGGUAACGCAGCUAACGCGUGAAGUAGACCGCCUGGGGAGUACGGUCGCAAGAUUAAAACUCAAAGGAAUU